CAAACACAAAAAUUUCAAGUAGUUAUUCAUGCACAGAAAUUAAAAGCACCUGAGGCACAAAUUCAGGAUCUUAAAAAGAAACAAGAGAACCACGUUCAGCUUUUACAGCAAAAGCAGAAGAGUGAUGAAGCAGCAAAACUGUUGCAAGAAGAAAUUCAAUUCAUCAAGGCCCAAAAGGUUCAACUACAACAAAAGAUAAAACAAAAGGCAGAACAACUUCGGCAUUGGAAAGCCUCUUGAGAGAAUGAACUGCUAUAGGUACAUUUUUUCAAUUAUUUGGUU
Camellia sinensis is the source of this 282-nucleotide long non-coding RNA. RefSeq lists it as uncharacterized. NCBI's taxonomy places the organism in Eukaryota, Viridiplantae, Streptophyta, Magnoliopsida, Ericales, Theaceae. The record is from RefSeq and is a predicted model, not a curated record.